UGUGUUCAAAUUCUUGCACGAGCGUGGGUAUUAUUUUUGCUCAAUUUUGUGUUAGUGUUUCAGUGGCGUUGGGAGUCUGAGGUAGUUGGAUGUGGUUAGUGGGUGAGAUUUAUUGGGAUUGUGUGGUUAGUGAGAGAAUUUGUUCAUAAUUUUGUAUAUCCCAAUUAUUUUUUUUAUUUCUUUUAUUUUUCUUCCUUUCUCCCUUUUUGACCUUUUUUGCACUCCCUUCCUGUCAAAAUUUCCUCUUCCAGUCGUGGUAUUUUGCUUCUCAGUUCUGUCGUUC
Molecule: long non-coding RNA, 283 nt
Filed under: Gossypium raimondii (Peruvian cotton)
Lineage: Eukaryota; Viridiplantae; Streptophyta; Magnoliopsida; Malvales; Malvaceae
Description: long non-coding RNA (GRAI_LNC005755)
Source: RNAcentral